Pelobates cultripes (western spadefoot toad) is the source of this 608-nucleotide non-coding RNA. The record is from the annotation of a GenBank genome assembly. NCBI's taxonomy places the organism in Eukaryota, Metazoa, Chordata, Amphibia, Anura, Pelobatidae.
CUAGAGUAAUCUAAACAUUUUACAAUAAAACCAUGAUCAAAAGAUAUAUGAGGCAAGUAAAAUGCAUGUAAGACCUUACCUGAGUAUCCACAAGUGAACAAAAUAAAGGGGUGGGACAUUGAAAGAUUUAAAGAAGCCAAUGGGUGGAAAAAUAUUUGCCUCCUGUCUUUAGAUUAUUUAGUCACUGAAGCUAGAAUAAUCCCUAAUUUUAUGGCAAGACAGGAGGCUUCAUAUUUGCUGUUUUAAUGCCUGGAGAGUAAAUGGAAAUAAACGUGAGAUGCAGGUCGGAAAUAUAAGGUACGGAUUGUGGAUUCUCGUGAUCAAUCAGCAGAAGAUAGAAUGUAUGAAAGAGACCUCCUGGGCACCAAAGCAGAGGACACAGCCGCGCCACGCACCGAAUGAGCACCAAAAGAAGCUUCAAUGUUCGCAAGACGAAGAAGCCAUCUAAUACAAUGAGUAAUCAUGUGACAGUACACAGGGUUAUGAGGACAAAUAUAAAAUACAAACAGAGGUCCCAAUGGAGCCUCAAGAGGGGAGAUAAGAGUGACAUAUCGCUGUAAGCAACGAGCAACACAAAAAGAACGUCUAUCUGGAAAGUAAGGAUAAAA